GACGAACGCUGGCGGCGUGCUUAACACAUGCAAGUCGAACGGAAAGGCCCUGCUUUUGUGGGGUGCUCGAGUGGCGAACGGGUGAGUAACACGUGAGUAACCUGCCCUUGACUUUGGGAUAACUUCAGGAAACUGGGGCUAAUACCGGAUAGGAGCUCCUGCUGCAUGGUGGGGGUUGGAAAGUUUCGGCGGUUGGGGAUGGACUCGCGGCUUAUCAGCUUGUUGGUGGGGUAGUGGCUUACCAAGGCUUUGACGGGUAGCCGGCCUGAGAGGGUGACCGGCCACAUUGGGACUGAGAUACGGCCCAGACUCCUACGGGAGGCAGCAGUGGGGAAGAUUGCACAAUGGGCGGAAGCCUGAUGCAGCAACGCCGCGUGCGGGAUGACGGCCUUCGGGUUGUAAACCGCUUUCGCCUGUGACGAAGCGUGAGUGACGGUAAUGGGUAAAGAAGCACCGGCUAACUACGU
This 467-nucleotide ribosomal RNA is filed under the name uncultured bacterium. RNAcentral describes it as "partial 16S ribosomal RNA". It matches the Rfam family "Bacterial small subunit ribosomal RNA", at positions 28 to 506 of the family's 1533-position model. The record is from RNAcentral.